CCUACGGGAGGCAGCAGUGAGGAAUAUUGGUCAAUGGGCGGGAGCCUGAACCAGCCAAGCCGCGUGAAGGAAGAAGGCGCCAGGCGUCGUAAACUUCUUUUGUCGGGGAACAAAGGGCGCCACGCGUGGCGUUUUGAGUGUACCCGAUGAAAAAGCAUCGGCUAACUCCGUGCCAGCAGCCGCGGUAAUACGGAGGAUGCGAGCGUUAUCCGGAUUUAUUGGGUUUAAGGGGUGCGUAGGCGGUCCGAAAAGUCAGCGGUAAAAGCCCGGGGCUCAACCCCGGAGAGCCGUUGAAACUGUCGGACUAGAGUAGGCGAGAGGUACGCGGAAUGCGCGGUGUAGCGGUGAAAUGCAUAGAUAUCGCGAAGAACUCCGAUUGCGAAGGCAGCGUACCGGCGCCGGACUGACGCUGAGGCACGAAAGCGUGGGUAUCGAACAGGAUUAGAUACCCUUGUAGUC
RNAcentral lists this ribosomal RNA (459 nucleotides) under uncultured bacterium. RNAcentral's name for it is "partial 16S ribosomal RNA". It matches the Rfam family "Bacterial small subunit ribosomal RNA", at positions 338 to 795 of the family's 1533-position model. The record is from RNAcentral.